Long non-coding RNA from Columba livia (rock pigeon), 5477 nucleotides. RefSeq lists it as uncharacterized. The transcript has 2 exons. The record is from RefSeq and is a predicted model, not a curated record. Lineage: Eukaryota; Metazoa; Chordata; Aves; Columbiformes; Columbidae.
GCCCCGCCACCAGAGGCGCCUGCACUCCCUGUAUGUGGCUGCUGUCACUCUAGCCACGCCCCAUAGCGGCCUGGCAGACGGCUCGGCAGCGGCGCCCAGAGCACCUGCGCCACUGCCGGGGGCGCGCAGCCCGCGGGGGGACCGUUGACAACGGGAACGCGUUCCCGUGCGGGGCGGAGGCGGCUCCGGUCUCCCGGCCGCUGUCUCUUUCCUCCUGUACUACCAGCCGCUCCCGUAGGCGCCGCGCGCCCUCCCGUCGCCUAGCAACGGGCUUCAAAGCGGCCGCUCGUGGGCUGCUUUCCUUCAGCUCCCGCCCUGUUCACGUGACGCGCCGCGGCCUGCGCUCGCGGGGCCGCACCGGCGGCUCAAUCCGCGAGUUCGCGUCGCUGAGGAGACACGGGCGGGGUGCGGGGGCUGUGGGCUCUGCCGCCCCCGGAGCGGCUCUGGGGAGGCCCGGGUGAGGAGCGGUGCCCAGGCAGGCUGCGGUGCUGCAGUACAGCCGGAGCCUUAAUAAGUUGCCGUACAGCUCCUGAGCUGUUGGCGUGACGCAGCAAGUAUUCCGGGCCUUGGGCCGCCGUCGUGCCUCAGCUGUGGUAAAACUGUUUGCCUGCCCUGCCCCGACCACACCGCCCGGCACUUCCAGACACUAACGGGGGAAGUAAGAGGAGAGGGGAGUGCUGUGAACGGGGUUUCUUGCCGAUGUUGCAUAAAUCAGAGUGAGUGGUCUGAGGCCCGGCUGUAUGUUGGUGCUUGGACUCCUGUCUUUUUCUUGUCCCCAUGCAACAGGAGGCGAACCGUCCAGGAGGAUGAUCUGGGCGGAUGAAAUCGGCCUGUAGGCAUAGAGAGGUGGCAGCAGUGCUCAAGUCUAAAUGAACGUAAAUGUCACCUAGUUUAGUAAGAAGGAAAGAUUCUCGCAGCACGAGGAUGCAUUAAGUAAUUCUAAAUCUUACUAUUUAAGCCUCUUCUGAGCAGUGAAGUGUUUCAAGUCAGAACUAAUUGCUGGUAUCUUAAUAAGCCAUUUUUGUAUGUUACUGUUUCCAGAGCAUACCGGUGCUAGCAGGGUUUAGAGAAAGCCUGGAGAAGUACUUUAUCUCAGUCAUUCUUUCUCAUUCAGUUCCUUCUUCUGGCUCUUUUCACUUGCUGUGUUUGCCACUGUGUUUUUUUCAAAUUGUGGCAAUGUAGAUGUUUACUUCUGCCUGUGUAAGGUGAACACCAGCUUAGUGUAAAACACCAAUAGCACACAAAAAGAUCAGUUAUACUGACUUCAGAGCGUACUAGAAAAGUCUUCAUCUAAUAACCUUCAGAUAAUCAGUAUUUUUGAUAAAAGCAUAUGUUUAACUGCCAGCUAAAGCUUUUGUGCUACUGAAGUCUGCUGAUCCAAGUGUUUGUUUUCUUUGUUUUGUACCACAAUUAUCCAAAUCUUUAACCAACUGGGCUCCAGUAGAAGAGAAAAUGUGGCAUUUUCAAUAUUAACCUUGCCUUUUUUCUGGACUUUCACAUUUCUUGAUGUCACUUUCCUUUAAAAAGAUUGAACUUUAUAUUUUAAAUCACAAAGAAUUAUGAUGUAUAAAAAGAGAAGUAAUUUAAUUGUAAAAGGACAUUGUAUAGCAACAAAAAUUUCACAGUGAGCUGUAGGCAAGAUUUCAAUUUCUUAAAGUUUUAAGAUGCCCAUUAUAGUCCUACUAAAAGUAGCAGAAUUCCCAUUUGCUUACAUCUGAGAUUAAUGUUUCACUGCUUUUAUCUUUGUUAGUUAUUUAUGUCCUGAUCUUACAGAUGACUUUCUUUGGAGGAAGUGGCCUGUUUGUGUUGGAAAGUGAUUUUACACCUAUGGAGAUGUAGGGGCAAUUUACUUCCCCGAAGGCCUAGCUCCGAGUUCUUUCUGGCUCAGCAUUCCUUAGCUCAUGAAAACAACUGCAACUUCAGCUUCUCCGGGACAAAAGUUUUCUCCCUUUUCUCUGAUACUAAUUUACUAGAGUAAAUGGCAAUGUAUUAUUUUGUAUGUAUAUUUCAUACAUAUAGCCUAUGUGUAUUUUCCACACAGAAAAGGUAGCCUGGGACAAACCUUUGUGUUUCAAGAAAAAGAUGCAACAUGUGCAUAGCAUUCUUCACUAUGGUAAAAUAGGAUUUUUAUUUUUAUUUUUUUUUUUAGGAGGGCCAGGCCUCCUGCGCUGCAGCUAUUAGCUGCCCCUGAAACUUAGACAGUCCUUGUUAGGGAUAUGGACCAUGAAACUGGUUGAAACAUUGCCAAGGGAGAAUCACUAUGAAGUGUGAAGAGAAGAUUCUUGGAAAUUUUAGUAGUAUUACGCAGCAGAGACAUUACCAUUUAAUGCACAUUACCUCGUGCACUGCAGGAGCUAUCUCACAGUGCCCAGAUAACAACAAAAAUGCAAAGGAUCAUCAAACAUCUACUUGGAAGGGUGCAUGUGUACUUCACAAGAAACUGUCUUUGAUAUGCAAUACUAAUUCCUGGAAAUUAGAAGGUAGCGGUUUAUGACAGUUCACUGUAACAAGACAUUAAGUCAGAGCUUUCACUUAGUGCUGGUCAUUUCACAUGCAAAUUCCAUUCAGUUAGAUAUGGCUGUUGUUAUACAAGCAAAUCUAGUGACACAGCAGAAAAAUUAUUUCCAAAGUCUAUGAGCUUGAAUUUCCUUUGCCAGAGAAGCACAAUAUUCCUCUGGUUUUGAUUAAAUACCAGGAUUCUGUAGGACAGGCUAAUGACAUUUAUUAUCCAGUUCAAUAGCUAAUCACCUUAGAGGCUAUUUUUUAAUAACACCAUGUGUUGUGACUAGUGUAUAAAUCAAAUGAAAAGUGUAACAUUAGACAAAUUACCCAAAUCCUACAUACUGCAGAUGCAGAGGGAUAUGGGGAAAGCUGUGGAACAGUAAAGGACAAAAGCAAAUACAAGCAAAUGCAAAAGGAGGAAAAGGAAGAAACCAGCUGCAUUAUCUUGCUGAAUUGGUUGGAAAACACAAAGGAAUGAAGUCAUAAGGAGAAUGAAAUUAUUGCAAGGGCAACACACCUGUAUUAAUGCUAUUGUAUAGUAGUAUUACAAUUAUAUAUUAUACCUGUAUAAUUAUUAUCUAUCAAUAAUGUGUAAUUAUAUUCUUAUUAUACCUGUAUAAUUAUGUUAUUAUACCUGGAUUAGUAUUAAUUUAUAAUAUUAUAAUAUGCUACCUGUUGCUGGCAUGUAGUAAUGUCUUCAUGAAAGAGACAUUUUAGUGACCUGGCAUCACCAAUUCUUGCUGCUCCAUAUGGAAACUGAGCAGCUUUCUCAAUGUGUAUGAAAAAUACAUUUCAGUACAAUGACAUGGCAGACCUAGGCAAGGAUAAUAUGUAUUAAUUUAUGUGUAAUAAUAAUAAGCAUUAUUAUUACAGUAACCAAUUGUAAUUUGCUUAUACAUUCAAAAAUUGAAGUUACUCCUCUUCAGGUGUACCCUAGAUCUAAGACUAGAGCUAAAGUAGUACUGCUAUGAGAUUAUGUUAUACGGUUCUGAAAGAAUAUCAAGUUCCUUCAUAAAAUAUUACAGCAGUUUCCCCGUGGAUUUUGAGAAUGCACUUGAAAAUAAGCAGUAACAAUGAAAUUGCUGACAAAUUGCAACACAUGAAGUUUUACUCUUACAACCGUCUCUUAAACUGACAUACAAAAUGUUUUGCACAAAGCAGCCUUUUAUGAUCUGUGCUACGUCUGCUGAAUUCUUUUUUGAUAACUUAGAUGCUCUAUGAAUUAUUUUGCUUUGAUUAUUAAAAAGUAGUCAGUGGUAGAAAAUUUAAUAUAUUUCUUCACAAUAAAUAACAAAGCUUAGAGCAGUAGGAGAUGGGGUCACUGUGUGUUACAUUCUUCAGUUAGCACUGAUUAGACCAGUUAAUUAAAGCUACCCUCAUUUUAUACAUUCCUUCAUGUGAAGUCUAACAUUUACAUUUUACUGCUUUCGUCUUGAUAAAUAAACAUCAUGCCAUAUAGCAGGCUAACAAACAAAAAGCCCUGUUCUUUAGUACUGACAGUCACACUGAGUUGCAUCUUCAAUGCUGCUUAGGUGCACUAGCUGAAAAAAAUGGUACAAGCUCAUAAAUUUUCUCACUUGCAGUGAGCAAGUGGUGUCUCAGGGUGACAAAAAUCUCCACCUGCCAGGUUGUGUGAAUUCGGGUUGUUUCGUCCUCUGGUGGGCAGGCUGUGGCAGCAGCGACUCUGGGUUUGCAGAGCACAGGGAACACUGGCCGCUUUCCAUGUGUGUGGCUGUGUGAGUUGCACACCUUCCUCCUGGGGUCUGGUGGAACCACAGAACGGCUUAUGUCCUCAACACCAUCUGUGUGUAAGGAUGUGUCACAAAAAUAUCUACCAUACUGAGUUUUCAUUUAAUAGCAGCAUGUAAUUAAUGAAGGUUAAGCGUUGGUGUGGUCUUCAUAUGAUAGAAAGUUUGUAGUCACAAAAUCCAAACCCAGACGUACAACUACUUAUGGGGCAGAUUUAGAGUAGAAGAAAGCAUUAUUGUUGCAGUUAUCUCCAGUUUCCAGUCUCCUUACUCUGACUUCUCUAAGCAGCUGGCACUAAAAAAAAAAAAAAAAAAAAGUUUAUUUAAUCAAAAAAAAUACCUUUGACCUUAAUCAUUCAGUAUGUGAGGAAAGACUUCUGCACCAUGAGAAACUAAAAAAUGUUCAAUGUGCGAUACUAAAUAUGAGCUUUACAGCCUUGGCUUGCAUAUGUUUUCCAAAGGUUUUAUACUGAUCAAAGACAGCUGUACUUCUGUUCACCACAGCAACAGUUUCACCACCCAUUACCCCCCUGCCCUGUGUUUGUGACACUAUUUUUCUUUGUUUCUGGAACCCCUGGCUUGAGUCAAACACGCUUUUUUGCUGACAAUGCUGGGGUACUCAGUGUUACUAUUGGAAAACAGCAGAAUCAGAGAAUGGUUGCAUUUAGAAGGCCUUACAGCACUGGUUCCAAGCGCUAUGUUUUUCAGCCAGUAUUUUUCCCCCAGAAAAUCCAUGGGCAUUUGAGAGGGGUUUUGUUUUGUUUUGUUUUGCAUGCCAGAGUUAUUCUAAAUAGUUUAAAAUUCUAUUAAACUGAGAUUUCAAUAUCAGCUACCAACUCCUCACAAUCCUUCCUUUGAAGAGCGUUGCAAAAUUUUUAAAUAUAUCACUUUAAUACAAUUGAAGCAGUUUGCAAGUAGAUUAAAAGUACUACAAUUUCAAAUACAAGAGUAGCAUCUCUUUUAUUUUGUCCCUGCAUAGCUACAUUUAAUAUGUGAAGGUAUUUUCCCCAUUCCAGAAUAAUAAUGGAAAUAAUAGUAGCAUAUCAGAUAGUGAUGUUUGCUUUGCAAUAUUGCUAGCACAGAGCAACGUGAAGAACAAUACAAAUACAUAUUUGCUUUUCUAAAGAACUUUCUAAAUAUUGUAUAAGUAUUUAACAUUUAUAAGGGUGCUGAGAUUUGCUAGAAUUAUAAAAGAUUCAAUAAACAAACAGACCUUGAACAUGAGAA